ACAUUCUUCAUUACGCUCUCUGUAUCUUCAUCAAAUUAUUUUCCUGAGGCACCCGCAGGUAGUGAGGGAGAGAGAGAGAGAGAGAGAGAUUAAGUGACAGCAUUCACUAAAAAUAAAAAUGUAAAAUGUUUUUUUUUUCUUAAACACGAGAUAUAGUAUUCAAAUUUAGGAUGUUUUUGAAAGACUCUAUAUUCUAUAAUCAGGUUAUAUAUACUUUCUCACAGAACAAUUGAAAUAUAUUUAUUUUAAAUCAUUUAUUUAUUUUAAAUCGUUCAUCUUUCUCCUCUCCUCUCUCGCACACACACAUUACUUUGGGUGCGAAAGAGUUUUGUUUUUAUUUUACGCUGAGGAAAAAAGUGUUUUGUUGAGGAUCCAUUUAUUUAACAACAAAGAAACAAAGAGGUAUUUAAAGAUGGAAGACUUGAAAGAGAAGAUUUCACCUCUGUUGAAACCUCGUGACCUAUUUAGUACUCUUGUUGGUGCUCAUCCAAUUCUUGCACCUGAUACAGACUCUUCUCCAAAGCAGUCAACUACCACUGAUAGCAAAAAUGAUUAUGUGCCCAAUUCAAAUGUAACACAUAAUACAUGUGGAAAUGUGACAAACACUGCAGGUAACCUUGAGAAUGGUAGUACAAAUCUGCAAUUUGGAUACGCCAACAAUAUCAACAUUAAGUAAUGCUGAUUUAAAAUAUGAAUUGUUCAGUUUAUCUGUUCAAAUUCCACUAAAGUCAACUUUGCCUUUCAUCCUUUCAGGGUCAGUGUAUUCAACUCAUUCCCUCCCCUGAAACUACUGGACUUGGGCCAAAGUGUGAAAACAUCAUUAUUAACAAAAAAUCAUUAUUAAAAAAGAAUGAAUGAAUAAAGAAAUUAUUAUUAUUAUUAUCAUUACUA
Molecule: long non-coding RNA, 891 nt
Organism: Octopus bimaculoides (California two-spot octopus)
Lineage: Eukaryota; Metazoa; Mollusca; Cephalopoda; Octopoda; Octopodidae
Source: RefSeq, a predicted model, not a curated record